UCGGGAAUUUUGGGCAAUGGGCGAAAGCCUGACCCAGCAACGCCGCGUGAAGGAUGAAGUAUUUCGGUAUGUAAACUUCGUAAAAUAGGAAGAAUAAAUGACGGUACUAUUUGUAAGGUCCGGCUAACUACGUGCCAGCAGCCGCGGUAAUACGUAGGGACCAAGCGUUGUUCGGAUUUACUGGGCGUAAAGGGCGCGUAGGCGGCGUGGUAAGUCACUUGUGAAAUCUCCGAGCUUAACUCGGAACGGUCAAGUGAUACUGCUGUGCUAGAGUACAGAAGGGGCAAUCGGAAUUCUUGGUGUAGCGGUGAAAUGCGUAGAUAUCAAGAGGAACACCUGAGGUGAAGACGGGUUGCUGGGCUGAUACUGACGCUGAGGCGCGAAAGCUAGGGUAGCAAACGGGAUUAGAUACCCUCGUAGUCCCUGAGCGGGCUGGCAAGGCGCAU
This 446-nucleotide ribosomal RNA is filed under the name uncultured bacterium. RNAcentral describes it as "bacterial SSU rRNA". It matches the Rfam family "Bacterial small subunit ribosomal RNA", at positions 355 to 825 of the family's 1533-position model. The record is from RNAcentral.